RNAcentral lists this ribosomal RNA (481 nucleotides) under uncultured bacterium. Its description in RNAcentral is "partial 16S ribosomal RNA". It matches the Rfam family "Bacterial small subunit ribosomal RNA", at positions 28 to 507 of the family's 1533-position model. The record is from RNAcentral.
GAUGAACGCUGGCGGCGUGCCUAACACAUGCAAGUCGAACGGAGAUUACGGACGGAAGUUUUCGGAUGGAAGCCUGUAAUUCUUAGUGGCGGACGGGUGAGUAACGCGUGGGCAACCUGCCCUAUACAGGGGGAUAGCAGCUGGAAACGGCUGGUAAGACCGCAUAAGUCGGUUAAAUCGCAUGAUUUGAUCGGGAAAUGAGCAAUCAGGUAUAGGAUGGGCCCGCGUCCGAUUAGCCAGUUGGCAGGGUAAAAGCCUACCAAAGCGACGAUCGGUAGCCGGACUGAGAGGUCGGACGGCCACAUUGGGACUGAGACACGGCCCAAACUCCUACGGGAGGCAGCAGUGGGAGAUAUUGCACAAUGGAGGAAACUCUGAUGCAGCGACGCCGCGUGAGUGAAGAAGUAUUUCGGUAUGUAAAGCUCUAUCAGCAGGGAAGAUGAUGACGGUACCUGACUAAGAAGCCCCGGCUAACUACGUG